Molecule: ribosomal RNA, 494 nt
Filed under: uncultured bacterium
Lineage: Bacteria
Description: bacterial SSU rRNA
Rfam family: Bacterial small subunit ribosomal RNA
Source: RNAcentral
AAAGGAAUAGACGGGGGCCCGCACAAGCAGCGGAGCAUGUGGUUUAAUUCGAAGCAACGCGAAGAACCUUACCAGGCCUUGACAUCCUGCGAAGGCGCCAGAGACGGCGCCGGCCCUUCGGGGACGCAGAGACAGGUGGUGCAUGGUUGUCGUCAGCUCGUGUCGUGAGAUGUUGGGUUAAGUCCCGCAACGAGCGCAACCCUUGUGUCCAGUUGCCAGCGCGUAAUGGCGGGCACUCUGGACAGACUGCCCGUGAAAGCGGGAGGAAGGUGGGGACGAGGUCAAAUCAUCAUGCCCCUUACGGCCUGGGCCACACACGUGCUACAAUGGCCUGAACAAAGGGUAGCCAAGCAGCGAUGCGGAGCCAAUCCCAAAAAACAGGCCCCAGUUCGGAUUGCAGGCUGCAACCCGCCUGCAUGAAGCCGGAGUUGCUAGUAAUCGCGGAUCAGCACGCCGCGGUGAAUGCGUUCCCGGGCCUUGUACACACCGCCCGU